CACCGCGGUUAUACGAGAGGCCCAAGUUGAUAGACACCGGCGUAAAGGGUGGUUAGGAUAAAAUUAAAGACUAAAGCCGAACACCUUCAAGGCUGUUAUACGCACCCGAAAGUAAGAAGCUCAAUCACGAAAGUGGCUUUACUCCUUCCGAAUCCACGAAAACUAGGACA
RNAcentral lists this ribosomal RNA (170 nucleotides) under Lateolabrax japonicus (Japanese seabass). Its description in RNAcentral is "partial 12S ribosomal RNA". The record is from RNAcentral. Lineage: Eukaryota; Metazoa; Chordata; Actinopteri; Acropomatiformes; Lateolabracidae.